Molecule: non-coding RNA, 1253 nt
Organism: Meleagris gallopavo (turkey)
Lineage: Eukaryota; Metazoa; Chordata; Aves; Galliformes; Phasianidae
Source: RefSeq, a predicted model, not a curated record
GUAGGGCCCACUUCUGCUCGUUCAGACCACCUGAAGGAUGUGAUUCAAUUUCCCAGCAUGUGGUAGCCAAAGUUGUAAUUACUUUCAGGACCUAUGAGCACUGGAGCCUACAUCUGUGUUGAGUGGCUGCUCACCAGCUGUGGCUAAUGAUGAGGUGCCUCUGUAAAGGGCCCUUUGGACGUGCUGCCAAGAAUGAAGUUGGUCCUGCUUGUAGUUUCUUGUUGUCUUCAGGUGGUGUUGUGGAGCUGUAGGUGCUGAGUACAGAAGCAGUUUUUGUGGACUGAGCUCUGUAGAUCUCUGCUAAAAGUUACUGGAGGAAGAACUGAGGGAGGGAGAGCAAAGGAAGGCUUCUGUUUAUAGGAUAGGAAAAGUAUUUCCUGCCCAGCUCUAACACUGCUAUUCCACCAGUUUAGACACAAUUUCAGGUUACAGUAAAUUGGAAGAAACAUAAGCUCUACUGGGAUCCUACUACCACAACUAGAGCUAUUUUUGAUACUACAGAGCAGCAGCUUCAAGAGCCAUUUCCCAGUGAGGACAUCACAGUGAUGGUUACAACAAUGACACCACUCUUGGAAUGGGAGGUAUUUCCCUCUGGCAAGUGGUGCUAGGAUGACCUGAGCUGGACCAUGUUUGUUUCCUUGGAAGUUCCUACAAGCUGGUGACAAAAGGAACCCAAAAGGAGGUGUUGACAUAGAAGGAAGGGACUGUCUGUGUCAGGAAGCUUUGAAAAUUAGAAACUGAAGGGCUAAUAAAAAUCAGCUUUGGUUGAUAUUCCGUAACUUAUGUCUGUAUUUGGCAAUUCUAAUUUUGUAAAUACUACUCCCUCUCUUUGUCCCUCUUUACAUCAAGUUUGUAUGAACUUUGUAAAGGAUCUUCAGUGACUGGCACACCUCUGAAACUCAUGCUUUAAGCUACUCUUUUAAUAGUAAUAAAAUUACACAACAGUGUUUUUGGUGAGUUUCUGGUCUGUUGUUUCGUAACUGCUGCUCUUUUAUUACUCAUAGCUGAUUGUCUAUGGCUGUCAAAAUGUGCAGUACAUUGAAAUGUUCAUAUCCUACCUUGUUUCUAUCAAGAGACAGAAUAGUCGUCAAGGGUUCUUCCUAAGGAGCUUAGACUGGUUGUAAUGCUAUGGUUUUUAAAGGCAUGUGGGUCCUCUGAAGUUUUGUACCUAGCUCUUCUUGCAAGAAGAACCUGUUCCCAUUUUUCAAUUGGACAAUGUGUGAAAAGUAACAUAUUUGUUGUCUUUGGAUUCU